This 1335-nucleotide long non-coding RNA is filed under the name Homo sapiens (human). Its description in RNAcentral is "long non-coding RNA NONHSAT208349.1". Lineage: Eukaryota; Metazoa; Chordata; Mammalia; Primates; Hominidae. The record is from RNAcentral.
CUAAGAGAGUCUGAAGAAAAACUAAAGCAACAACAGCAGGAGUCUGCACGCAGGGAAAACAUCCUUGUAAUGCGACUAGCAACCAAGGAACAAGAGAUGCAAGAGUGUACUACUCAAAUCCAGUACCUCAAGCAAGUCCAGCAGCCGAGCGUUGCCCAACUGAGAUCAACAAUGGUAGACCCAGCGAUCAACUUGUUUUUCCUAAAAAUGAAAGGUGAACUGGAACAGACUAAAGACAAACUGGAACAAGCCCAAAAUGAACUGAGUGCCUGGAAGUUUACGCCUGAUAGGUAAACAAAUCAUACUCCCCAGUCAAGACUUCCCUGACAGUCCCACUACGAGAAAGCUGUGGUGGGACAGCCAAGUACUCGUUUCCACACCAAGACUCAGACUUUUUGAGCCAAAAAAAAGCCACAUUCUUACACUGUCCAGCUUGUAAUGGUUAAUGUAAAACUUACCAGAUGAACCUUGUGUUUCAGCUUUUUUCUUUUCCCCUUCCCCUUGCUUCAGAGGCCUGAUGGCGUCGGACUAUUCCGAAGAAGUGGCCACCUCCGAAAAAUUCCCCUUCUAGAACAUGUAGACACUUGAGAAAUGUUUCUGUUUGAAGAAAAUAGAGGGAGAAACAGAAGUCUUAAGUCUGUGGCACACUGUGUCUUCAGACAGUUUGAAGGAAUGAAAACCUAGAGAUUUUAAAUCAUGAAUUGAACAUGUAAAAUUCCAGUAAAAUGUAAAAACGGAAUAUGCAUCGCUCUUAACCUUGAGCAUAGUGACUUAGAGACACUGUGUAUCAGUUUUGCCAAUAAGACUGUGGACUUCAUGAUUGUUGUUGAACUUCUGGGUCAAAACUCAAAUGAGGUGAAUUUUGCCUUUAAAGGGUUUAUUUGCUGAGAACCAACUUUCAAUAGUCAUGAGAGAAUCAAAUAAUAGAUGUCCGUACAAGUAGCGCAUAUAUUUAACCAUUUAGUUUGGGGCUCUAUAUUACUUGCUUGAGCCUUAAUCAAUGUGGUUUUAUUCAAUGGUUUGUUCUUUGAAUGGUUGCAAAAACUGUAGAUAAUCUUACUGAGGACUGUACAAACAUGAAGGUGUGGUAUCAAACUUCAGGUUGAAACUGUUUGAAGCAUUAUAAACAUUCAUUUCACAACUAGAUUGUAUAAGGAUAUUAGCUGUGAUGAGACUCACUGCAUUAUUUUUUUUAGUGAAUUUUAUGAAAUCCCCGUUCCAUUCAACAGGCACAUGUUUAAAAGAGCUUUGUCGUUGGUGUUAAUGGGGGAAUGUGUUCCUUCAUUGUAUUUGGGCCUUUUGUAUUGCACUCUUGAUAUUAAAUUAAAUGUGCCU